RNAcentral lists this transfer RNA (72 nucleotides) under Ictidomys tridecemlineatus (thirteen-lined ground squirrel). Its description in RNAcentral is "Spermophilus tridecemlineatus (thirteen-lined ground squirrel) tRNA". It matches the Rfam family "tRNA". From Rfam's summary of the family: Transfer RNA (tRNA) molecules are approximately 80 nucleotides in length. Their secondary structure includes four short double-helical elements and three loops (D, anti-codon, and T loops). Lineage: Eukaryota; Metazoa; Chordata; Mammalia; Rodentia; Sciuridae. The record is from Rfam by way of RNAcentral.
UGGGGUAUAGCUCAGUGGUAGAGUACUUGCCUAGCAUGCAAGAUGCCCUGGGUUAGAUCCACAGUACUGAAA